AACGAACGCUGGCGGCAGGCUUAACACAUGCAAGUCGAACGCACCUUUCGGGGUGAGUGGCAGACGGGUGAGUAACGCGUGGAAAUCUACCCUUAUAUGCGGGAUAGCUCCGUUCAACUGGAAUUAAUAACGUAUAAGUCCCGAGGAAGAAAGAAUUAUCGGGGAAGGAUGAGCGCGCGUUGGAUUAAAUAGUUGGUGGGGUAAAGGCCUACCAAGGCGACGAGCCAUAGCUGGGUUAAGAGGAUGAUCAGCGACAUUUGGACUGCGACAAGGCCCAAACUCCUACGGGAGGCAGAAGUGGGGAAUAUUGGACAAUGGGCGCAAGACUGAUCCAGCCAUGCCGCGUGAGUGAUGAAGGCCCUAGGGUUGUAAAGCGCUUUAAGUGGGGACGAUAAUGACGGUACCCACAGAAGAAGCCCCGGCUAACUUCGUG
RNAcentral lists this ribosomal RNA (433 nucleotides) under uncultured bacterium. RNAcentral describes it as "partial 16S ribosomal RNA". It matches the Rfam family "Bacterial small subunit ribosomal RNA", at positions 29 to 507 of the family's 1533-position model. The record is from RNAcentral.